RNAcentral lists this ribosomal RNA (735 nucleotides) under uncultured Synechococcus sp. RNAcentral's name for it is "bacterial SSU rRNA". It matches the Rfam family "Bacterial small subunit ribosomal RNA", at positions 781 to 1515 of the family's 1533-position model. Lineage: Bacteria; Bacillati; Cyanobacteriota; Cyanophyceae; Synechococcales; Synechococcaceae. The record is from RNAcentral.
GAUACCCCUGUAGUCCUGGCCGUAAACGAUGAACACUAGGUGUCGGGGGAAUCGACCCCCUCGGUGUCGUAGCCAACGCGUUAAGUGUUCCGCCUGGGGAGUACGCACGCAAGUGUGAAACUCAAAGGAAUUGACGGGGGCCCGCACAAGCGGUGGAGUAUGUGGUUUAAUUCGAUGCAACGCGAAGAACCUUACCAGGGUUUGACAUCCUGCGAAUCCCUUGGAAACUUGGGAGUGCCUUCGGGAGCGCAGUGACAGGUGGUGCAUGGCUGUCGUCAGCUCGUGUCGUGAGAUGUUGGGUUAAGUCCCGCAACGAGCGCAACCCACGUCUUUAGUUGCCAGCAUUAAGUUGGGCACUCUAGAGAGACUGCCGGUGAUAAACCGGAGGAAGGUGUGGAUGACGUCAAGUCAUCAUGCCCCUUACAUCCUGGGCUACACACGUACUACAAUGCUACGGACAAAGGGCAGCAAACUCGCGAGAGCUAGCAAAUCCCAUAAACCGUGGCUCAGUUCAGAUCGUAGGCUGCAACUCGCCUACGUGAAGGAGGAAUCGCUAGUAAUCGCAGGUCAGCAUACUGCGGUGAAUACGUUCCCGGGCCUUGUACACACCGCCCGUCACACCAUGGAAGUUGGCCACGCCCGAAGUCGUUACUCCAACCCUUGUGGAGGAGGAUGCCGAAGGUGGGGCUGAUGACUGGGGUGAAGUCGUAACAAGGUAGCCGUACCGGAAGGUGC